This is a long non-coding RNA of Pipra filicauda (Wire-tailed manakin), 632 nucleotides long. RefSeq lists it as uncharacterized. The record is from RefSeq and is a predicted model, not a curated record. The transcript has 5 exons. Lineage: Eukaryota; Metazoa; Chordata; Aves; Passeriformes; Pipridae.
GUGUUUUUGGCAUUGGACUAACACAAGAAAUCUAUUGCUCUGAACUGGUAUCUCCAGACACUCACUACAGUGCCCAGGCCACUAGUCCUGUCUCUCCCUUGACAAGGGAGCCAUAUUUUUCUUCCCACUGAUAUGGUUUUCCAAUUGAAGUGGAGAAUCAGCCAGCAAGGAAGGCAUCCUAGUAGCAUCUUAGGACCAAGCUAGGAGCCUAAAACUCAGAAAUUCAGGACCAUAGGGGUAGGGAUACCUCUCAGGAAUGUUGUGAGGAAUAAUUAAUGUUUGCAAGGAGCCUUGAAGAAAAAAUGCUGGGAGAGCACAUGGGCUUGGAUUGCUGGUGCCUGAGCACCUGACUCCCAUUGAAACAACUGCUGAGUGCGUGUCUCUGGGGCUCUCAGCAUUAGUAUUACUCACCAGCUAAAGACGGGAAGAAGGGAAGUGAUUCAGCCUGCUCCUGUGGAUCUCUUGUGUCAGACCUUCAGGUCAGAACUGUUUCAUAGGGCAGGAGCUCUAUGUAAUACUCACGUCAGACCAUGGAGGCACAGAAGAACCAAGUCUGGAUAUGUCACUACGGCACAACACUUGGGCAGAGCUCUGUUGAAGUAAAUGUCACUAUGCCUGGAGUAAGAGGCUAU